AAUAAGUGAAUAUUCCACAAAAUUUGGUAUUUUAAAUGUGUUCUUAACUGUUCUUUACAAAAAAGAACAGUUAUCAAUACUCCAUGAUUUUUAAAAACCUGAAUUAAACUAGAAACACUUUACAAUUACAGGAAAUUAAUCAUCCUGUAAAAAUGUAAAUGUAAUUUAUGUUUUUAUCGUCCAAUACUACCUGAAUCUGUAUAAUAAACUUAAUAUAAACACACCGUAAGAGUGCAGAUGUGAAUAAUGCUGUUGGGACUUAAACACGGCUGUAGAGCAUGUCCAUAGGAGCAAACAAGUCAAAGGAACCAUACCUCUGAAUGUGGCAUUACAGAUGUUAUUUGUAAUAGUUAAUGUUGUGUUUUAUAUAGUAACACUAAAGAAGGACGGUAAAUUAAACUUCGAUCCGAAAUGCGCGUGUCUUGUUAUUUUGUAAAGGAAAAGAUAAUUUGAUCAGUCCGGUAAAUUCUUUUUGAAUAAUCAUAAAACCUCACAAGCACAUCAGAUUUGACUUCUAGAAAGUAUAACACAUUAAUAAAUUACCUUUUAAUUGCUGACAAACCAAGUUUAAAGUAUCGAUAGUAGACUGUAAAAUACUUUCCACGCUACUCCUCAUGGGCG
Long non-coding RNA from Centruroides sculpturatus (bark scorpion), 621 nucleotides. RefSeq lists it as uncharacterized. The record is from RefSeq and is a predicted model, not a curated record. The transcript is spliced from 3 exons. Lineage: Eukaryota; Metazoa; Arthropoda; Arachnida; Scorpiones; Buthidae.